This 660-nucleotide ribosomal RNA is filed under the name uncultured bacterium. RNAcentral's name for it is "bacterial SSU rRNA". It matches the Rfam family "Bacterial small subunit ribosomal RNA", at positions 8 to 694 of the family's 1533-position model. The record is from RNAcentral.
AGAGUUUGAUCCUGGCUCAGGACGAACGCUGGCGGUGUGCUUCACACAUGCAAGUCGAACGGAGUAGCAAUACUCAGUGGCGGACGGGUGAGUAACACGUGGGAAUCUACCAUUAGGUGGGGAAUAACAGGCCGAAAGGACUGCUAAUGCCGCAUAUGUAGGCAUCUCGACAGAGAUGUUUAUGAAAGGAGUAAUCCGCCUUUUGAUGAGCCCGCGUCCGAUUAGCUAGUUGGUAGGGUAAAAGCCUACCAAGGCGACGAUCGGUAGGUGGUCUGAGGGGAUGAUCACCCACAAUGGGACUGAGACACGGCCCAUACUCCUACGGGAGGCAGCAGUGGGGAAUUUUACGCAAUGGGGGAAACCCUGACGUAGCGACACCGCGUGAGCGAAGAAGCCCUUUGGGGUGUAAAGCUCUGUCAACAGGAACGAAACAAAUGACGGUACCUGUGGAGGAAGCAUCGGCUAACUACGUGCCAGCAGCCGCGGUAAGACGUAGGAUGCAAGCGUUGUCCGGAUUUAUUGGGCGUAAAGAGUUCGUAGGCGGUUUGUUAAGUCUGAUGUUAAAGACCGGGGCUCAACCUCGGAAAUGCAUUGGAUACUGGCAGACUGGAGUGCAGUAGAGGCUAGUGGAAUUCCCAGUGUAGCGGUGAAAUGCGUAGA